This 451-nucleotide ribosomal RNA is filed under the name uncultured bacterium. Its description in RNAcentral is "bacterial SSU rRNA". It matches the Rfam family "Bacterial small subunit ribosomal RNA", at positions 29 to 506 of the family's 1533-position model. The record is from RNAcentral.
ACGAACGCUGGCGGCAUGGAUUAGGCAUGCAAGUCGAACGAGUGUAGCAAUACACUAGUGGCGAAAGGGUGAGGAACACGUGAGUAAGCUGCCCUUCAGUUGGGAAUAACUUUUCGAAAGAGAAGCUAAUACCGAAUGUGACAUAUUAGCUGCAUGGCUGAUAUGUUAAAGAUUUAUCGCUGAAGGAUGUGCUCGCGUCCCAUUAGCUAGUUGGUGAGGUAACGGCCCACCAAGGCAAUGACGGGUAGGUGGUCUGAGAGGAUGGUCACCCACACUGGGACUGAGAUACUGCCCAGACUCCUACGGGAGGCUGCAGUCGAGAAUCUUCCGCAAUGGGCGAAAGCCUGACGGAGCAAUGCCGCGUGUAGGAUGAAGGCCUUUGGGUUGUAAACUACUGUCACCGGGGACGAAUUAUGACGGUACCCGGGGAGGAAGCAACGGCUAACUACGU